GGAAGAGAAGAAUGAGUGUGCUAAGGCACAUCUUGUCGCGCCAACAGUUUGAGUCCAACUUCUUUUGCCUUUCGGUUAUUGGUUCAAAUAUUACAACUUGAGUCGCUCUGUGGGCGCAAAGUGGAUGAGAAUUUCUUCAUCGUGCUGAGGGAAUUCCUUUGGCUGCUGGAUGAUUCUGCGGGGCAUUUUCUUGGGAAUGGAGUGAGAGUGUUGAAAGGCUUUCUUUUGGCCGUUAUCAGCGGAAAAAGGUGAGUGAAUUGUAAACAGUGAUUUCCUGUCGAAUAUGGCUAAUUAUUCAAUUGAACUGUGUAGGUUGUUUUCUUUUUUUUUUUCGACUGAAAAACAAUAUUCUUCGUUUCUGUGAAAGAAAAUGAUUAAAAUCCCAGGAAUUUUCACGUG
This is a long non-coding RNA of Phlebotomus papatasi, 399 nucleotides long. RefSeq lists it as uncharacterized. The transcript is spliced from 3 exons. NCBI's taxonomy places the organism in Eukaryota, Metazoa, Arthropoda, Insecta, Diptera, Psychodidae. The record is from RefSeq and is a predicted model, not a curated record.